Molecule: long non-coding RNA, 187 nt
Organism: Octopus sinensis (East Asian common octopus)
Lineage: Eukaryota; Metazoa; Mollusca; Cephalopoda; Octopoda; Octopodidae
Exons: 4
Source: RefSeq, a predicted model, not a curated record
AUAUAUAUAUAUAUGUGUGUGUGUGUAUAUUUGUUACGGGCUUCUUUCAGUUUCCGUCUACCAAAUCCAUUCACAAGGCAUUGGUCGGCCCGAGGCUAUAUUAGAAGACACUUGCCCAAGGUGCCACGCAGUGGGACUGAACCCGGAAUCAUUUGGUUGCUAAGCAAGCUACUUACCACACAACCAC